GCAGUAGUAGUUCAGUGCUAGAAUUCGUCCUUCUACGCGGGAGAUCUGGGUUCAAUUCCCAGCCAAUGUA
This 70-nucleotide transfer RNA is filed under the name Loxodonta africana (African savanna elephant). It matches the Rfam family "tRNA". Rfam says of the family: Transfer RNA (tRNA) molecules are approximately 80 nucleotides in length. Lineage: Eukaryota; Metazoa; Chordata; Mammalia; Proboscidea; Elephantidae. The record is from Rfam by way of RNAcentral.